Molecule: ribosomal RNA, 253 nt
Filed under: uncultured bacterium
Lineage: Bacteria
Description: partial 16S ribosomal RNA
Rfam family: Bacterial small subunit ribosomal RNA
Source: RNAcentral
UACGUAGGGUGCGAGCGUUGUUCGGAAUUACUGGGCGUAAAGGGUGUGUAGGCGGAGCCGUAAGCUAGAGGUGAAAGACCCGAGCUCAACUCGGGAGGUGCUUUUAGGACUGCGGAUCUAGAGAUAGUCAGGGGCUGGUGGAAUUCCUGGUGUAGAGGUGAAAUUCGUAGAUAUCAGGAGGAAUACCGGAGGCGAAAGCGGCCAGCUGGGGCUUAUCUGACGCUGAGGCACGAAAGCGUGGGGAGCAAACAGG